AUGCAGCAGGAGCAGAGCAGCAGAAACCAGAGCAAACCCGCUCACUUCCCCUCUCUGCUCUCCUUUGCACCGACUGCCUCCGGUGAGAGUGAAAGCCCACGAGAGCUCUGCAGCGAGAGCAGGGCUUUGCAUCGAGAGCUGGGCUUUGCAUUGAGAGCGGGGCUUUGCAUCGAGAGUGGGGCUUUGCAUCGAGAGCGGGGCUCUGCUGCCAGCCAGGACCCCGCAGCUCCUGGGUUCAGCCUGGCCUCACCCUCGGCACGGCUCGAGGAUCUCCCUUGGCUCCUGCCUCCAGCCACGGAGGCUUCGAGGAGGCUGCGAGGGGCGGAGGGGAUUCCCCGCUCGUUUCUCUGCAGAGGAGCCGUCUGGGGCUUUGCAGUCGCAGAGGAGGCGGAUAUGCAAAAGCCUUGGGCUGCUCUUAACGCAGGCAAAAGCGGCGGUGCUGGAGGCCGAGCGUUCACCCUCGCAGCAGGGUGGGACCUGGAGCUGUCACCGUGGGGGCAGCGAGAAGCCCUCUGCCCGCCCCCCCCGCUGCCAGGCUGGGUUUUGGGGUGGGCAGGUGAAACCCCGCGAGGGGCAGGAGACCCUUGCUGGCCCCCAAAACUGGAGCAGGAGCACCGGCGUGGACGGUGCCGCAGCUGGGAGCAUCGCCGGGAGCUAGGACACGGGGAUGCUGGGCUCCACCCUGGGCACCCCCGCACCGCACCGGAGUUUUCUGGCCCUUUCUGGCCCCGACCACCUGCUCGUAGGGAUCCUCGGUGGCCUGGGGGCUAUGGCCACAGGGGGGGAGCACUCUUGUGCCUCCCUCUUGGAGCUCCAGGCCGGGCAGUGCAGCGGGCCGGGGCCGGCAGCGGGGCCGGAGAGCCGUGCGCCGCGGCGAGGCCCCGCCAAGAGGAUGAAAACAUGGGGCUCAAGUUAUCCUGCCUCAAAGGUGGGUCCGGGAGGGUCCUGGGCGCGCAGGGAGGGCUGGGAGGGAGGUCGCGCUGCGAGGAGCUUUGCUGACUCCUAAAGGCAUCGCUGCUGCCAGCGCGGGGCUUGGCCUCUGAAGUGACGCUGCUGCAGCUUGAGCGAGGGGACGCCGGGGGGGGUGGGUUUCCAGCCCUGGAAAAUUCGGGGUACGGUCCUGAGCUCGCUCCCGCUGCCCUGGGCUUGGGGUUUGCUCAGCGGUGGGGCCGCGGGAAGGAUGCUCGGGGUCGGGGUGCUCGGGGCCAGGCUGGGAGCCGGGCUGACCCCAAGCAUCCUUGGGUAGCAGUGCCCGGCACGGGCCAGCUCGCUGCUGCUUUCCGUAGAAAAAUGCUUUUCGUGCUUUUCACCAAACUUCACUUUUCCUAACGGGGGUCGAGCCACCACGGCGCCUGCAGGCGCUCUGGCUCGGCGAGAGGGACGUGGGAGCUGUUGGCGCGCCCAGGCCACUCGUUAGCUCCGAGUGCCACUUGGCAGGGGCUGGGACGUGGGGUUGGGGACGUUGGGGACUUGUGGCACGGCCCGGGGGGGCUGCAGGGACGGCCGGGGGGGCGGUGGCCACCUCGCGUCCCCGCGGCACCGGCACCCGUUGGGGCGCAUCCCCUGCUUGGUCUGGGGAUGGAGCCAAGGGCGGUUUGGGAAGCGGUGGGAACCCGGUUCCGUUGUCACAGCGAGGGUGUCCCCAGCGAUGCUUCACCCCGAAAUGAGCCCUCGGAGCCCUGGAGGAGAGGGGACACAUCACCCAUGGGGUCCCCAUCCAUGGGGUCCCCGUCCUGGUGUCCCCAUCCAUGGGGUCCCCGUCCCUGGUGGAUAAAGUUUUCCCCCAAAAAACCUCCAAUAUUGAUGAAUUUUAAAGAGCUGCCUCCCCCCUCUGUUUUCUGGUCCAUUUAAACCCCCCCCAAAGCAGGAUGGAGCCUCGGCACCCACGUGCCCCCUCCCCAUUUUUGGGGUGCCCGGCCAGGCAGCCUGGUGCAGGGGGCUUGGGGGUCCCAGAGACACCCCCCCCCCAACCCUGGGGCGGCUGCAGAGAGGGGCUGGGGGACACCAAAGCACCCUGAUUUCCCUCCGUCCACCCCAAAACUGGGUCAAAACCGAAUUCGUUUGGGGAACCAAACCAAAUUUGGGUCCCCAAACCAGCCUCGGCUCCGGCAGACAGGCUCGGAGCCCGCAAUAAAACAACGCCCCCCCCCCCCCCCCCCCCCCCC
Long non-coding RNA from Anser brachyrhynchus (Pink-footed goose), 2165 nucleotides. The record is from Ensembl. NCBI's taxonomy places the organism in Eukaryota, Metazoa, Chordata, Aves, Anseriformes, Anatidae.